AAAACAUUCCUCUUUUCUUCUCAUUCUGGCCGAGCUGCAGCUGAGGCAAAACAUCUUCAAAUUUCACAAACUUCACCUCAAAAAUCUUGCUCAAACCUCCAUAGAUUCACACCAAAUUUCACAUACACUUAGCUCUACACUUGGACAACACUUUGAGCUGUAAAAGGGAGGAGCUUUCACGGUUUUCUUCAGGCUUCAAAGGGACCGAAAAUUCUGUUUAGAUAAACCAUCAAAGUAGGUAAUGAUCUAAUACCUUAAACUUGUCCUAUGGAAGUUAAAUUACACUUAUGAGCUUGAAUUUGCAUAUAGAUUGUGGUUGUUGUUGGAGAAAUUGGAAAAGUGGACUCUAUGAAUUCCCACUCUUGGGUUGCUGCUGAUUUUGUUCUUAAUGAUGUUUAUAAUGUGGAAUUAGUGUUUAAAUCAGUGGUUUGUUGAUGGAAAAGUGAUAGAAACUCACGUUAGGUGCAAAAGGCCAAAUCUGACCAUUUUACCCCUGCUCUGUUCGGUCACUUUAAUGCCGAAAUUUGAGGAUUUAAUGGCUUGAUUGUGUUGUUUAUAUGUUGUAGUAGUUGUGUAAAAAUUUUCAUUGAAAAAUACUGAGUUUUGGUUGGUCAAACGAAUUUAUUCCCAAAGCUAGUAAUCUGGAAAACGGUUUCGUCGUAAUCCAGACCAGUGUUCGUAUUUCAUCCAUAACUCCGUACUCCGACGUCGAAAUCAAGUUCCGUUAGCUGCAUUUGAAACUAGACGUUCCAAUCUUUCCAACGGUGUAUAAUGAACGUUCUGGUUCUAUGUGUGUGAACCGGACCACUCAUCUGAAUUCAGCUGCCCUGUUUCGCCAUUCUGCCGAAAUGAUUUGAUGAUACUGCAACUUUAGGCUUAAUUUCAAGCUAGUUGCAUGCUGAAACUUAGAACGAUUUCUUCUGUGAAAUUAUAGUCCUAUGCAUGUAUUUUCUAACACUAUCAACCAUGCUCAAAUCCGAGUUAAAUUGAGUGAGUUAUGAUCAAAAUACGGUGACUGUUUUGUUCUUGAAAGCCUUGGAUUUGGACAGAUUUGACGUGACAUUUGUGGUGGUCUUACUAAAUGAAUUUCUUGAUACUAAACACCUACCAAAUGUACCAUGAAUGUUUCUUAAACUUUCCUUUCACAUAUGAACCAUGAUUGGAGGAUUUUCUUAGCCAAACGAUUGGAUUUGGGAAGAAAAGGAUUAAGGGCAUAUUGCCUUGAGAAUUUUUCCAAACUUUGGUUGAUUGGUUAACCACCUUUCCGAAGGUAUUUUUCCACGAAAUUUGAUAGAGAAAUACCCUUCAUAUAGGAGUACCAUACUACAAAAUUUGGUAUCAAUUCAAGUCCGUUUCGACACUUAACAAAAGGUCCAAAUUCGGAACCAAAUCUGGAAAUUUUGUAACAGUCUUGAAUUUUUCCCAACUUUGAGCUAUCAUAUCUUGGUUCUCGAAACUCCGAUUCUUGAUCCGUUUGUUCUGCCCUAAACCUUACUUGCACCUCUAAUUGAUCUAUAAAUUUCAAGGGCUGGUUUGCAACGAGUGAAUUCUGCCAAAUUUCCAAAGUUAGCGAAAAACCAACCCCGGCUCAAUCCUGGGUGAUCUGGGACAGCAACUUUAAACUCAUUUUUGAAUACCUUCCAUUUAGAUUCGUGGAAUAGUGUCUUGUAAGAACUUUUAGUAAUUUUCAAGAGGUUUCCAACGGUAUAAAGUUUUCCAAUUUUAGACUUGUAUCGAGUGAGAUACGAUUUUUCAAAGAUCCAUAUCAAAACUGAAAUUUUCCAACUUUCAAGGAAAUAGAGAUUUCCAAGAACUUUUUAUUCUUUCGACAUUAUGCAAACAUUUUAACCUCGAUUUCCAAGAUAAAAAUCCAAAUGCUCCUGUACUUGAAGAAACUCUAAUUGAACCUCGAUUUACGAGUAAUUGAGGUUCGAUUUCGUGGAAUUUCCUUAGAUUGUACUAGUGUACAAUCUUCCUUCAUAAUUGGGAUAUAUGAAUGAUAAUACGUUAUUAUUUGCCCAGGCGCACACGAGAACCUUCAAGAGGAUUCUACCGUGCACACUUGAACUUCCAGAAAAUAUUUCUUCUUGAUUUGCUCGGUGAGUGUCAAGUGUAUGACUACUUGAACUCUAUGGACUUGAUUCAUGCUUGGCUUACCUGAUUACAUGCUUAGCCUACUUGGUUUUGAAAAAUGGAGUCGAGUGUGUACUUUCUCGCACUCGUUCUCAUUUGAAACAAAUGACUCAUGCUUAACAUGGUUUGCCUGAUUUACAUGACCUGAAAUACAUGCUUAGACCUGUCAAAUGCUUGAAUACAUGAUAUGGUAUGCUAUGGCUGCAUACGUCGUUGGAGUGAAUCUCCUCGACACUUACAUGACACAUGGGGGACGCCCAAACUCAUAGGCCGACCUUGGAACUCGAGCCGGCAUUGGCUUGGUCGGGAACCUCGGUGAGCCAUGAGAUUCAUAUGAUAAGCUUGAUCUAUUGGAGAGAUCUUGCUUGGCAUACUCGUGGAGUAUCGCCUCAUAAAUGUCGUGCGAGUCCGAAGCGGUGUAUGGUGGAUGGAUGAGAAGUAAGUGGUGAACUACGGAUAUGAAAUAUCAACCCGGUUGACGGAGAGUCAUCGCGGGAAGAUAUAGGAAUGACAUCGGCAAAAUGUGGAACUUAGCUCCUGAGAACUACCAUAUCCUUGAAUUGUUUCUGGUUACAUUUUUGUUGGCGUUAUUAAUUACUUGCAAGCUAUUAUUUGAAUUGUUAUUUGGGUUUGUUACCUGAACUGUGUGCCUGCAUGUGUGUUCUUGGCCUCACGAGCGUUUUUGCUCACCCUAUAGAUUUGUUUUUCUUAACAGGUUUGAACCCGGAGGCGUACUGGAGAAACCCUCCUGAUGAGCUUUUGUUUAGGAUUUCUAUUAUAUUUUGG
RNAcentral lists this long non-coding RNA (2919 nucleotides) under Coffea arabica (coffee). RNAcentral describes it as "long non-coding RNA (CARA_LNC004310)". Lineage: Eukaryota; Viridiplantae; Streptophyta; Magnoliopsida; Gentianales; Rubiaceae. The record is from RNAcentral.